This 258-nucleotide ribosomal RNA is filed under the name uncultured bacterium. RNAcentral's name for it is "partial 16S ribosomal RNA". It matches the Rfam family "Bacterial small subunit ribosomal RNA", at positions 103 to 354 of the family's 1533-position model. The record is from RNAcentral.
CGGGUGAGUAACACGUGAGUGACCUGCCUUUUAGACUGGAACAACUUACCGAAAGGUGAGCUAAUGCCAGAUGAGUUAUAUAAGUGCAUGUUUAUAUAGGAAAAGUUGGGGAGACCUGACGCUGAAAGAUGGACUCGCGUCCCAUUAGCUAGUUGGUAGGGUAAUGGCCUACCAAGGCGACGAUGGGUAGCCGGCCUGAGAGGGUGGCCGGCCACACUGGGACUGAGACACGGCCCAGACUCCUACGGAAGGCAGCAG